UAUAUCAUAGUAAAAAAAUAUUAUUUUUAACAUUCAUCAAACAUCUUAAAAAAUCAAACGUAGAUUUGGAGUAACCGUUGUUGAGACUUCGGAGUUUGGAGUAACCGGUCUUUGUAAGGCGCCGCCGUUCCACUUGUACCACGCACCUUUGUGUGCGCGUGCUCUUUUUUCGCGGUCUGGCUUAUUUGUUUGAAAUGAAUUGGCCUUCAACUUCGAGAGGAAUCAUCGAAGCGUGCCGUGUAUGAUCAGCCCCACCGAUCCGAGCUAGCUCUCCAAUUCCUUCCAGGUACUACCCCAAAAACUGUUGCAAUCAAGGAAUGGUGGGAAGAAACUGACAGGAAAUUCCAGGCAUGGCCUCGAGCUGCUGGUCCACCCGUGGUCAUGAAUCCUAUCAGUCGACAGAAUUUCAUUGUCAAGUCCCGCACUGAGUCUCGAAGGUCCCAUCUUACACUUAAUUAGUUUAGAUCAUAAUGGCUUUCACGACCUUUCAUUAGUGUACUUUUUUUCUGUAAUGGGUGUGUUUAAUGCAGCUGUGAGCCUUACUAUAUCUGUAUAGAAUGUGAGGAAACUGUAUAUCAUCGCGUGUGUAUAUAUAUAUGAUUGUCUUUGAUGUACAACACUUAAUCCAAGUGGUAGCUCAUUCAUUCCUUAA
Juglans microcarpa x Juglans regia is the source of this 652-nucleotide long non-coding RNA. RefSeq lists it as uncharacterized. The record is from RefSeq and is a predicted model, not a curated record. The transcript has 2 exons. NCBI's taxonomy places the organism in Eukaryota, Viridiplantae, Streptophyta, Magnoliopsida, Fagales, Juglandaceae.